RNAcentral lists this ribosomal RNA (467 nucleotides) under uncultured bacterium. RNAcentral's name for it is "partial 16S ribosomal RNA". The stretch from base 18 to 368 matches the Rfam family "Bacterial small subunit ribosomal RNA", at positions 45 to 394 of the family's 1533-position model. The record is from RNAcentral.
GACGAACGCUGGCGGCGUGCUUAACACAUGCAAGUCGAACGGAAAGGCCCUGCUUUUGUGGGGUGCUCGAGUGGCGAACGGGUGAGUAACACGUGAGUAACCUGCCCUUGACUUUGGGAUAACUUCAGGAAACUGGGGCUAAUACCGGAUAGGAGCUCCUGCUGCAUGGUGGGGGUUGGAAAGUUUCGGCGGUUGGGGAUGGACUCGCGGCUUAUCAGCUUGUUGGUGGGGUAGUGGCUUACCAAGGCUUUGACGGGUAGCCGGCCUGAGAGGGUGACCGGCCAGAUUGGGAAUGAGAUACGGCCCAGACAACUACGGGAAGCAGGAGGGGGGAAUAGUGAAGAAGGGGGGGGAGCCUGAUGAUGCAAACCAGCGGGAGGGGUGGGGAGAUUCGGUAUGUAAACAGGUUUCCCCGGAGACGAAGGGGGGAUGGAAAGAAUGGGUGAAGGAGCAACCGGUGAAUGCAA